CUUUUUGUAGAACGGGCCAACGAGUUACGUUAAGUAGCAAGGUUAAGCACUUAAGGUGCGGAGCCGUAGCGAAAGCGAGUUUUAACUGAGCGUUCAGUUAUUUGACGUAGACCCGAAACCGGGCGACCUACCCAUGAGCAGGAUGAAGCGAAAGUAAAAUUUCGUGGAGGUCCGAACCCACGAGCGUUGAAAAGCUCGGGGAUGACUUGUGGGUAGCGGUGAAAUUCCAAUCGAGCCCGGAGAUAGCUGGUUCUCCCCGAAAUAGCUUUAGGGCUAGCCUCAAGGUGAGAGAUACGGAGGUAGAGCACUGAAUGUCCUAGGGGG
RNAcentral lists this ribosomal RNA (324 nucleotides) under Clostridioides difficile. RNAcentral describes it as "partial 23S ribosomal RNA". It matches the Rfam family "Bacterial large subunit ribosomal RNA", at positions 604 to 926 of the family's 2925-position model. The record is from RNAcentral. Lineage: Bacteria; Bacillati; Bacillota; Clostridia; Peptostreptococcales; Peptostreptococcaceae.